This 2572-nucleotide ribosomal RNA is filed under the name Triticum aestivum (bread wheat). RNAcentral describes it as "partial small subunit ribosomal RNA". Lineage: Eukaryota; Viridiplantae; Streptophyta; Magnoliopsida; Poales; Poaceae. The record is from RNAcentral.
CCAGAACCUAGCCCCGACCCCAAUCCCCAUCCAGAACCUUGCCCCAUUCCUAAUUCCGACCCCCUUGAGCAAACCCUAGCCUCGUUCCGUCGCUCGAUUCGUCGCCCGGAGGCUGAGGAUGCGGUGCCGCCGCUCUCCGAUCCGGCCGCACCGACUUCUCCUCCUCCUCUUUCUCCCACAUCGUCGCCGCACGGGGCACCGGCUGCCGCCUCCGGCGAUUUCUCCUCCGGCCUUGCCCGGGAUGGCGCCGCCGUUCCAAACGGUCAUGCCGACAUCGACAUCCGGGCGGCCGCGGAUGACAAGGCUCGGAAGCGCAGGGUCCGGAGCGAGCUGCGUCGGCAGCUUGCGUCAGAACUCGACCAGGUACGCGUGCUCUCCAAGCGCCUCAAGGCGGCUGGCGAGGCCUUGGCAGUUGAGGCAUCCCAGUCCGUACCUCGGCCACCGCCUCUGCUCACUGCUGGGUAUGUGCAACCCCAAUUCUCAGGCAGUGAUGCUGUGACGCCCGUACAGGCCCCAGUUGCUGCUUCUGUUCCUCCUGUCCGCUCGUUCCUACCACGCCGCCCGCUAAUUGUGCCAGAAGUUCACACAGAAUCACUUGACAAGGAAAAGCGAACACCAAAGGCCAAUCAGCUUUACCAAAAUUCAGAGUUCUUGCUUGCCAAAGAUAGGAUACCGCCAUCAGAUUCACAUGGCCGGAAGAAAACCAAGCACCACAAGAAGAAACACCGUUCCUCGUCAGCUCAUGGUGCAGGUUACAACGCUGAGCAGCGACUCUACUCGCAUGCAUUUAAGAAGUCUUCAUCCCUGCUGUCCCGACUAAUGAAGCACAAAUUUGGGUGGGUGUUUAACAAGCCUGUUGAUCCUGUUGCACUUGGGUUGCAUGACUAUUUUGCCAUUAUUAAGCACCCGAUGGAUCUUGGCACUAUAAAGGGGCAGCUUACUCGUGGGCAUUACAGGGACCCAAAGGAGUUUGCUAAUGAUGUACGGCUAACAUUCCAUAAUGCCAUGACGUAUAAUCCCAAAGGGCAGGAUGUGCAUUUCAUGGCUGAGCAAUUGUUAGGAAUUUUUGAAGCUCAGUGGCCUGAGAUUGAGGCUGAGGUUGACUACCUUGCGUCAUGCCCACCUUUGCCGAAGAAGUUUCCACCUCCCCCGAUAGACUUGCGCUUACUAGAGAGGUCAGAUUCCUUAAAGCACCAUAUGGUGCUGGACUCCAAGUCAAGGCCGAUAAGUCAUACUCCUAUUAGUGUCCGCACUCCAUCAUUGAAGAAGCCGAAGGCAAAGGAUCUGGAUAAAAGAGAUAUGACGAUAGAUGAGAAGCGUAAACUUAGCAAUAACCUUCAGAACUUGCCUCCUGAAAAGCUUGAUAUUGUUGUGCAGAUCAUUAAGAACAAGAAUCUUUCAGUUAGGCAGCAUGAAGAUGAGAUUGAGGUUGAGAUAGAUAGCAUGGAUGCGGAGACACUUUGGGAACUUGAUAGAUUUGUUGCUAACUUCAAGAAGAACCUGAGCAAGCAAAAGAGGAAGGCUGAGCGUGCAAUGCUUGCAAGGCAAGAUGUAGAGUUGCGUGCUCUGCAUGCUGCACAACAAACAAGUCAACAACCUAAUAUUGGUGAAAAAUCUCCAAAGCUAAAUUUGAUGGUGGGCGAGCAAUUAGCACCUUCUGUGCCAGACCAAAAUAAUAAUAAUGGACCGAGUGCCAGUAGAUCUAGCAGCUCAAGCAGCACCAGCAGUGAUUCAGAUUCCUCUUCUAGUGACUCGGACAGUGACAGCUCUUCUACAGAUGGAUCAAAUGCUGCCAAUUCAUCUUGAGACAUAGGUUCAGGACUCCGUCUAAUAGACAAUAACUGUCUAAUUGUAUUUGGCAUGAGAAUGCCUUAGUGAUUGUACAUGUUUGUCUCUGUCUCUUAGGUAUCUCUUAAGUAGCUGCUGGGAUGUUAGAUGAAGGCAGUAUUCUACAAAGGUUUGUUUGUUCCCCAGCUGAAGGAAAGAUAACCUGGCUCUGGAAUUAUGUAGCCUGUACAUUAGACGCACAUUGAGCAUUAUGUCUAGGAAGGUGAUUGUUGUGUCUGCAUUAACAAGCCAUAUUGUCCCGUUUAUUCAACGGUUUUGGCAGUGUUUCAAUAUACCAGGUGAUGUUCUUACUGUUACGGUUUAGCAUCAGCUGUUCUUGGAUUGUAAAUUUUCAAGUAAUUCUUGACUGGGACGUUUUAAAUGUUUUUGACACCCUUGGUCUUGUCAUCAUUGACGCUGAUGCAAGUCCAUGUUUCAUGGUGGUGUAUGCUUAGUUGCAAAGGGUUGUGAUCUGCAAGUGCAAGGAAUGUUUCAGCCUUGCUUCUCAUCAUUCUCUGCUCAUCAUGGUUCGGUUUAUCCAGUAAGACUUGCAAAGCUGCUGAGUCACUUCAUGUUUUGUUUAUUUUUAUGCUGCGGUGACCCGUUCAGGAGCUUUCUUGGGGAUUCUGCUGCCGUGAGCUUUGCUGAUUUGUUGAGGCUUUGCAAACCUGAUCGUUUCAAAACCCAAUUGGGGACAUUAAACUUCCCUGCGCACUGGCAUAGGGAAAUCAGCUCUGCGGUUUGA